UACAGAGGUCUCAAGCGUUGUUCGGAUUCAUUGGGCGUAAAGGGUGCGUAGGUGGCGCCGUAAGUCAGGUGUGAAAUUUCGGAGCUUAACUCCGAAACUGCAUUUGAUACUGCGGUGCUUGAGGACUGGAGAGGAGACUGGAAUUCACGGUGUAGCAGUGAAAUGCGUAGAUAUCGUGAGGAAGACCAGUGGCGAAGGCGGGUCUCUGGACAGUUCCUGACACUGAGGCACGAAAGCGUGGGGAGCAAACAGG
RNAcentral lists this ribosomal RNA (253 nucleotides) under uncultured bacterium. RNAcentral's name for it is "partial 16S ribosomal RNA". It matches the Rfam family "Bacterial small subunit ribosomal RNA", at positions 524 to 776 of the family's 1533-position model. The record is from RNAcentral.